GGGAAAGUAGCUCAGAUGGUAGAGCAGUUUAAUCUUUUAAAAUAGGUGGGAAACCUAAUCCAUUACUAAUGGAAAGUUAAGCGAGGCGGUGGUUCGAAUCCAUCCUUUUCCACAA
Molecule: transfer RNA, 115 nt
Filed under: Chryseobacterium sp. JV274
Lineage: Bacteria; Pseudomonadati; Bacteroidota; Flavobacteriia; Flavobacteriales; Weeksellaceae
Description: Pseudo tRNA
Rfam family: tRNA
About the family: Transfer RNA (tRNA) molecules are approximately 80 nucleotides in length.
Source: RNAcentral